RNAcentral lists this ribosomal RNA (482 nucleotides) under uncultured bacterium. RNAcentral describes it as "bacterial SSU rRNA". It matches the Rfam family "Bacterial small subunit ribosomal RNA", at positions 28 to 507 of the family's 1533-position model. The record is from RNAcentral.
GAUGAACGCUGGCGGCGUGCUUAACACAUGCAAGUCGAACGAAGCACUUUAGUUGAUUUCUUCGGAUUGAUUCUAAAGUGACUUAGUGGCGGACGGGUGAGUAACGCGUGGGUAACCUGCCUCGUACAGGGGGAUAACAGUUAGAAAUGACUGCUAAUACCACAUAACCCGCUAGGGUCGCAUGACCCAGACGGAAAAGAUUUAUCGGUACGAGAUGGACCCGCGUCUGAUUAGCUAGUUGGUGAGAUAACAGCCCACCAAGGCGACGAUCAGUAGCCGACCUGAGAGGGUGAUCGGCCACAUUGGGACUGAGACACGGCCCAAACUCCUACGGGAGGCAGCAGUGGGGAAUAUUGCACAAUGGGGGAAACCCUGAUGCAGCAACGCCGCGUGAAGGAUGAAGGUUUUCGGAUCGUAAACUUCUAUCAACAGGGAAGAAACAAAUGACGGUACCUGAAUAAGAAGCCCCGGCUAACUACGUG